GGGUGUGGCACCGUAGACGUGCGACUCGUAGCCGUGCUUCAGCCCGAGCGCAUGACCGAGUUUGUGCAGGUGCGUGUGCCAUGGCGACCGGCUUGCGAUAGUCGUCUGCCGUGCCGGCAUAGGCUGUGGCGAACCAAAUGUCUCCUGCUG
Molecule: small RNA, 150 nt
Filed under: Sinorhizobium meliloti 2011
Lineage: Bacteria; Pseudomonadati; Pseudomonadota; Alphaproteobacteria; Hyphomicrobiales; Rhizobiaceae
Description: putative ncRNA
Source: RNAcentral